This 8974-nucleotide long non-coding RNA is filed under the name Sorghum bicolor (sorghum). Its description in RNAcentral is "long non-coding RNA (SBIC_LNC010014)". The record is from RNAcentral. Lineage: Eukaryota; Viridiplantae; Streptophyta; Magnoliopsida; Poales; Poaceae.
AGACUAAAAAGGUCGGGCUCUAAUUCUCCAUGGGAAGGUAAAAAUAGACUACGUCUAUUUCUUCUAAUUCUUUAUUGGGCUCUAAAAAUAAUUUAAGACGUUGUCCAUUUACCUUGAAUAACGUACCUUCGUCAUUUUGAAGCGUGAUAGCUCCGUGGGAUGAUGAAUUAAUUACCUUGAAUGGUCCUUCCCAUUUGCUCCGGAGUUUUCCAUGCCCGAAAAGCUUUACCCUGGAAUUAAAAAGUAAUACCUUAUCUCCGGGUGUGAACUCCUUCUUCUUGAUUCUCUUGUCAUGCCACCUUUUGACUCUUUCUUUGUAGAUCUUUGAAUUGUGAUAUGCUUUCUCUCGCCAUUCUUCCAAUUCUGAUAGUUGCAUUCUUCUAUAAUCUCCAGCAACAUCUAGGUCCAUAUUCCAUCUCUUUAUGGCCCAGUGUGCUUUGAACUCUAGUUCAACGGGUAGAUGGCAAGUCUUCCCGUACACCAAUUGGUAUGGAGACAUUCCAAUUGGGGUCUUGUAUGCUGUCCGGUAUGCCCAGAGUGCAUCGGGUAACUUGUCUUUCCACGCCGUUCCCAUUUCAUUUACUGUCUUCUGAAGAAUAUUCUUGAUUUGUUUGUUGGAAGUUUCUGCUUGGCCACUUGUCUGAGGAUGAUAGGGGGUAGCGACGUUGUGACGGAUUCCAUGUUUUGAUAGAUAUUGCUUGAAGCGUUUGUCGAUGAAGUGUGCUCCUCCAUCACUUAUCACUACUCUGGGGACUCCAAAUCUUGGAAAUAUAAUUUCUUCAAACAUCCUCUUUGAACUGAUGUUGUCGGCAUGCUUGCAAGGUAAUGCCUCUACCCACUUGGAGACAUAGUCAACUGCCACCAAGAUGUACUCACACUUCUUUGAUGGAGGAAAUGGACCCAUGUAGUCUAUUCCCCAGACAUCAAAGAGCUCAAUCUGAAGGUUGUUGGUGAGUGGCAUUGCAUCCCUUGUAUUUAUGUUUCCGUGCCUUUGACAUGGCCCACAUCUUCUGAUAUAUUGCUUCGUAUCUUCAUACAUUGUAGGCCAGUAGAAUCCACACUGCCAGAUCUUUGAAUGUGUGCGGAAUGCUCCAUAGUGACCUCCAUAUGGUGAUGAAUGACAUCUAUCGAUGAUUUUCCAUCCUUCCUCAGUGGUCACACACCUCCUGAGUAAGCCAUCAGAGCAUACUUGGAAGAGGUAUGGCUCAUCCCAUAUAUGUGAACGACUUUCUUGAAUAAGCUUCUUCUUGUUUGCUCCUGGUGGUACAUACCCUGAAACCAUAAAAUUAACAAUAUCUGCAUACCAGGGGUCAGACCUAUUAAUCCCGUAGAGCAUGUCAUCCCGGAGUGAAUCAUUGAUGGGGGUUUCCUGUGGACUCUUAAAAUACAUUCUAGACAAGUGAUCAGCAAUAGAAUUUUCUACUCCCUUUUUAUCUUUUAUUUCUAAGUCAAAUUCUUAGAGUAAUAAGAUCCAUCUAAUCAGGCGAGGUUUAGCAUCUUUCAAAUAUUUUAGUGCAGCAUGAUCAAUGUAAACAAUUAUUUUAGCUCCAACUAAAUAAGAUCUAAAUUUAUCAAUGGCAAAGACAACAGCCAGAAGCUCUUUUUCAGUGGUUGCAUAAUUAAGUUGAGCUCCUGUCAAAGUUUUACUAGCAUAAGCAAUUGCAUGAUGCUUCUUAUUUUUAGUUUGUCCCAAAACUGCCCCCAUAGCAUAAUCACUGGCAUCACACAUAAUUUCAAAAGGCAACGACCAAUCAGGAGGUUGAAUGAUUGGUGCAGAGAUGAGUGCUUUCUUUAAUAAAUUAAAAGAUGUUAGACAUGCAUCAUCAAAUUCGAAAAGAGCAUCCUUGGCUAGCAAAAGAGUAAGUGGUCUAGCAAUAAAUAAAAAAUCCUUUAUGAAUCUACGAUAAAAACCAGCAUGGCCAAGAAAGCUUCGAAUUCCUUUUAUAUUCACAGGUGGAGGUAGUUGUUUAAUUACUUCAAUUUUAGCUUUAUCUACCUCAAUACCUCUUUCAGACACUAGGUGUCCCAGCACUAUUCCUUCUCUAACCAUAAAAUGACAUUUUUCCCAAUUAAGGACUAAGUGCUUUUCUUCACAUCUUUGCAAAACCUUGUCUAAGUUUUUAAGACAACUAUCAAAAGUUUUUCCAUAAACAGAGAAAUCAUCCAUGAAAACUUCCAUAAUCUCUUCAAUCAUAUCAGAAAAUAUAGACAUCAUGCAUCUUUGAAAAGAAGCUGGUGCAUUACAUAACCCAAAAGACAUUCUACGAUAAGCAUAAGUUCCAUAAGGGCAUGUAAAAGUGGUUUUGCUUUGAUCAUCGGGAUGGAUCGGGAUCUGAUGAUACCCUGAAUAUCCAUCUAAGAAACAGAAGAAUGAAUGGUUCGCUAAUCGCUCUAGCAUCUCAUCUAUAAAAGGUAAAGGAAAGUGAUCCUUUCUCGUGGCUUUGUUUAGUUUUCUAUAGUCUAUGCACAUCCGCCAUCCUAUGAUGGUGCGUUGUGGAAUUAGCUCGUUCUUUUCAUUCAUAAUAACAGUCAUGCCUCCCUUUUUAAGCACAACUUGCACUGGGCUCACCCACUCACUAUGCGGCACAGGAUAUAUAAUCCCUGCAUGCAGCAACUUUAUAACUUCCUUUUUAACUACCUCUCUCAUAGUGUUAUUAAGUCUACGUUGGGGUUCUCGAGAAGGUGAAACAGAAGGAUCUGUUUGAAAACGAUGGGUACAAAUCAUAGGACUGAUUCCUGUAAGAUCUUGGAGUGAGUAGCCGAAAACUGAGUGAUGUUUCUCAAGAAUGGUCAUUAAUCGCAGAGUUUGAUCCUGAGUGAGUUUAUCGCUAAUGAUCACAGGAAACUCUGGAUUAUUGUUUAGGAAAGCAUAGGUAAGACCGGGUGGUAAAGUUUUAAGCUCUAUGGGGGGUCUAGGUGUUUCUGCAAACUCAUCUAAGGGUUCAGGUUCAGAAGGUUUGGUUUCUUCUUCAGUGAAGAAAGGAGUUUCGUCUUCUAAGUCUGGUUCAUCUAAAAGCUCUAGAGAUGCAGCCUUUACCUCCUCCAUAGGAUUAGGCAAAAGAUAUGACUCGGCCUUAUUAUUUAAGGAGUGUGAAAUUGUUAUUGGGAAUUUAAAGGCUUUUCCAAAAGAAAUGUGUAGCUUUCCAGUAUGACCUUCAUAAAGGAGUCUUCUAAAAGGUUGUCCAAUCAACAGGUCGAAGUCCCAUGUAUCAAAGAUAUAAAAGUUCAAAUGAACCAUGGAGCCUUCUACCGUAAGAGGUAGGACAUUAAUAAUUCCAAGACUGGGGACUAAUCGUCCUGAAGAUUCCUUUAUGACCUUUGUUGUGGGGGUUAAGACAAGAUUUUUAAAUAGUUUAAGUGCAAAAGAUUCAGACAUGAUGUUGAUCCCCACAACAGGAUUAUAGAGAGCAUUAAAUCGAUCAGAAUUAUAAGCACAGCUUAUAGUUAUAGAGGGUGUGUCCAAACGGAUCACAUCAGAGGAAAGCUCUAAUUCCUCCAACCAUUCGCUACUCAUGACUGAGAUAAGCUCUCUCAAUUGAUAUUCACUUGGCAAAUAAAUGCUAAACUGGUCGUUUUGGGGUUUGUCAAUAGAAUGGUAGUUUGAAAUGUUUCCAAAAUUGGCAAAAAGAUCAGAUUCUAUAUCCAGCAUGAAGUCCGGUGGUGGAAUUUCUUCCUCUUGUGGCUCAGAACUUGGGAUAGCUAAAGUAGAUGAAGAAUUUGGCAGAGUGUCUACUUCGGCUUCGUAGGUUUCAUCAUGAAGGGUAUUAUCUAUCUCAGCUUCUAGGAUUCUAUCUAGGAUCACUCUAGCUUCAUCAGUAGGGAUACGAAAGAAAGAACCUCUAGACAUUGUAUGUAGCAUUUGUUUGUGAUUUUUCUGAAGACCUCGAAAAAAGUGAAAUAAAAGAACAGGGUCUUCAAGAUUAAGGUUUGGACCAGAUUCUAAAAGAUCAGAAAAACGUUUCCAGGAUUUUCCCAAAGUUUCAUUAUCUUUUUGUUUAAAAGAUAGGACUUCGAGUCUAAGGUCGGCUAUACGGUCGAGGGAAUAGAAAUCUAGACAAAAGUUGGCUUGUAAAACUCCCCAUUCACCUCGUUGUUGACUUACCUUCUGACUGUACCAUUGUCUAGCUUCUCCCCUUAAAGAAAAAGGAAAAAGCUUCCAACAUAAAGUUUUAUCAGAAAUGCCUUCAAUGCGAAGACAAUCACAUGUUUGCUCAAAAUCUCUAAUAUGAAGGUAAGGGUUUUCGUCUUCCUUUCCCGAAAAAGAUAGGUUUUGAAUCAUGGCAAUCAACCUAGAACUUAACUUAUACUGGGAUGUUUGGAUAGGCUGUGAUGACUCCCAUGGUAAAAGGUCAAUUACUGAAGGGAUUGCAGAUUCAUGGAUCGAUUUAGAAUUUUGGUUUUCCAUAAGGUAAGAGUAAAGAAAAUAAAUAAAGAAUAUAAAAGAUAAAAGUAUAGAUACAAGCUAGUAGUAAGAAAAGAUAAAAGUAUAGAUACAAGCUAGUAGUAAUACUCAGCAAACCGUCUUUCUCCUCGGCAACGGCGCCAGAAAUGCUUGUUGAUAUUUGGGAACGCAAUAAGGAAUUGAUCCGCAAGCGCACGGAUAUCGGUGAGCACUUCACCCGGGAGGUUAUCCAGAGUAUCGUAUUUAUUUUUUUACCACUAGGAGAAAGAGUGCAUCUGACUAACCGGUCUAUUACUACUAACCCUUUAGGCACAAAGAAUGUCUUUCGAUGUGAGUGAUAAAUAGAGAAGACUGCAACCGUAGUCUCCUUCUAACCUUGGUAAGGAUGAUCUACUGUUCUAUUGGGGAGGCUAACGGAAUCUAGACACCACAAAGGAUGUUCAACCCGCACCUAUAAACCCUAUCCUUCCUGCUAACGAGAUAUGGUCUGCAAAGGUAACUCGGAAUUGUCACGUUCCUCGCUACUACCACGGUCUAGCUAGUCAGGGAAUAUCUAUGAGUACCCCAGCCUAAACACCACGUUUACGCCAGCAAUGAUUACUCUAAACUCUACGCGAAGAGAUUAAAGUAAACUCAUAAACCAGAAGAACAAUAAAACAAGAACUUACUAGAAUUUAGAAGUCGAAAUACUGAAGAAUCCUAGGAGCAAGCUUCGGGUUAGGAGAACUUGAUCCCGCAGGUACAAGCUUGGAGUAGACACCGACAGGCCAGGCUUCCUCCAAUCUACACCUCCACUCUAUCUCUCUCAAUCUAGUAGAAACUAGAAGAUCUAUUUCUACUUUACAUUGGUUGCUAAGCCUAAAAAGAAAUAUUAAUUAGGGAAGAGGUUUUCCUUCGAGGGCACCCCUCAAUCUCUAUGAUAACUUCUUCAUGUCUUCUCCAGGGGCCAGGGGGGUCUCCUUAUAUAGUCCUCCUCCUCUAUGCGUUUUUGGGUCGGUAGGCGAGGUGGUACUAUGUUAUUCUGGAUCCAAUAGGUCGGUGGAACAUCGUGUGCGAAGAGAGUCCUGAAUGGCUUCCAGCAGGGGGCGGGCGCCCUGGGCCUGGCCCCUUUCGGCCUCUGCUUUCUUCCCGUGGCUUCUGGAGUCUUCUAGAUGGUAGAAAAUCGCGCGGUGCGUUGAUAUCUCUUUGUAAUCCCGACAUGUGGGCCUUUUUUCCUUAUUUCCUGAUAACCCCCUGCAGAAACAGAUAAACAACAAAACUCGUGGAAUUCUGUUAGAUCAAACCCUAAUUCUAGGUGUUGUUUGCAUAUUGGUCCUUUCUCUUGUUUAUUUGAUAUUAAAAUUGGUACUUAAGAACCGUCAACAACCCACACUCCUUGGGUCCCACAUAUCUUGCUCCAUAUCUUGUGAUCCGACCAACCACCACCCACUCAACAUUAUUCUGCGUAAGAGCUAAGCAAUGGAGGGAAUGAAAAAAAGGGGCAGCCAGGAUGGCCACCAAAGGUGGGCGCCCGCCCACCUACAGAGGGCACCCGCCCUGUCCCUCCUUCAGCCUAUAAAAGGCCACCUCUUGCCUCCAACUUCUUCACACAAGCAUUCCAAAAAACCACGCAAGUUUUAGUUUCCACAGAAGGAGCUCUUGUAGUAGAGUAGGGAGGAAAGAGGAGAGAAAGAGAAGAGUGAAAGGGAGGUUGGUAGUUUUUGAGUAAGAGAGUAAGGCUCACCUAGUAAGUAGUGAUCCCGCUGUCCAGAGCAGAAAGUUGUUUAGGGGAGGUGCUGCCAAAAUAAAAACUUGUCUUGACGACUAACCCCUGGACUACUGAUAUUUCGGACAGCUGACCUUUAACAUUUUCCACCAGUUGUGUCUGUGUCAACUUUUGUCUGCAGGAUGUUCAAGAAGGUGAAGAAUGCGGGAAAGGCCCUCAAGAACAUAGGUACAAGGAGUUCGUCCCGACACUCCUCAGAGAUGAGCGUCGACCCGACACCCCUGCAAGCUCCGUCAUCUUCAUCUGAUCCGCGAGUCAAGGUCCUCCUCAAGACAGGAGACCUUGGACUGAAGACCCGCAGGGAGAAGGAAGUUUUCCAGCAGCUGAAGAAUAAGGAUUUCAUUCACACCCCCACUCUUGAUCCUAUCCUGCUACAAGAAACAGGUAUGGAUACUGAAUUUGACUUGAUUUUCCAGAUGGUGGGAUGGACAAAUUUUUGGAAUGAGCUGGGUUCCUGUCUUCUCGCCCUUGAAUUCCUUUGCACUUUACAAUAUUAUGAGGGGGGAAUUGCUUUUUGGAUGUUCAAACAGGACAUUAUGUUGUCUUGGAGAGAAUUGAGCGACCAUCUCGGUUUCUCUUCAAGAUGCAUCCUAGACAUUGACUCUGACUUACCCAAUUUUGAAAGACACUAGUUCUGGAGAGAGAUAUCUAGAGAUGAGUUUUAUAAUCAAGCCCGAACCAGCGACAUGGAACACCCCACUCUUAGGAUGUUCCACAAGUGGCUCAGGUACAAUCUUUUCCAUCGUGAUGAUAUUAGAAAAGUAAGAGUAGGAGAUUUGCAACUUCUAUAUGCUGCUACAAAUAAAAUACCCACUUCACCUGUUACUCUUUUAGUUUCUCAUUGGCUUAGUAUACCUAGUCUUCAAGAACCUGUCGGUUGUACUUCACUCGUCACUCGUCUAGCCUCUAAUCUCAAUUUGCUAGAAAACUCAUCAUUGGAAUUCAUUGACAAGUUACGAAUUUAUCAUGGCUAUGACACAUUUAGGCAAUCUCGGAUGUUGAAAAAAGAGGGGAACGUAAUGUACAUGUUAUACGAUAAUAAAGGCAAGAUUUGGUUACCUAACCCGAACCUUGGCCUCUAUGUCGUUCAAAAUUAUUUGAUUGAGAUUGCAGUGACACCGGUAAACCAGAGAGCUCCACAGCGAGUGACAUCUGAAAGGAUGACCACCUAUCAAGAACGCACCUGGUAUGGAGCUGAUCCCGGGCCGGAAGAAGCAGCGCACCUGCAUUAUUGCGACUACAACCCCCGAGUCCUUUGGGACCCAUGGGUUCGACAUGCUCAACCACAAGAGCCAACACAGGAGACAUGCCCGGAGGGUCAAGAUCACCAGUGGACAAACCCGCCUUUCCAUACGGCCAGGUACUCCACUGAUCCAUAUGGAGCUUCAGGGUCUAGACCCCAGCCCCAAUUCAAUGCAGGACGGUACUCCGACGCCUCUUAUGCUUUCACGAACGACUACUACCAAGAAGUCGCCGCCUUCUUCACCCGUACCGACAACACCCUCCUCGACAUCCAGAAUACGCAAGCAGAACAUGGACGACUCCUGGAACAGCAACAAAAGUGGAACCAGGACCACGCUACUGCAGUACAAGAACUGAGGCAAGACACUACAACAAUGAACGACAACAUCACCACCAUGAUGCGAUUCUGGAACAUUGGGUAAGACCGACAACCACAUCCAGCUUGGGGGAGUUUCUCCCCGUUUUAUCAAGUAAGUUUUUAUUUUGCUCUUCUUAAUUAUUCCUUUCUGUUUAAUAUUCUAUUUGUCUUAAAGAAAAAAACUUAGAAAACCCAAUAAAUAUUUUCUUGCUUUAAUUUACUGCAUUAUAUAAACAUAAAAACAAAAUAAAAAGAGUGUGUAGAUAAGUGUGCUUUAUUUAUCUGCUAAGUGUUAAUCUCUAGAAAAAUAAAAAGACUAAAAAGACGGAUGAUGGAAAGGAUAAACAGUUGCUCUGUUUGCUUACUUUCAAGUACUUAGCUUUUAUAUUGAAGAUCUUCCAGGAAUUACUAAAACUGAAAUUUACUAUCUAUGGGAAGCAUGAACCUAAAACUAAAGUCUAGGUAAGAGAAAGGCAUGAUAUAAAGUUUGAGCUACUGUUUAUCUUGUUCUUACAACACUGAGUUCUGGAGAUUUAUUUUGAAAACUUGCAAAUCACAUGAUGAGUUCCUAGCAUGACAAAAUUCCUACCACAACCAUACUUGCUAUAACAUCUUUUGCUACUUAUUUUUACAUUGAGUUUGAUCGAGCUGUGUAGACCCUUAGGAGCUUUUCAUGUGGUUAAAUUAAGAUAUUCACUUGCACACAUCUACUACACCAUCCAACACCAUUUAUUAAAAUUGCUAAAAAUAUUAUCACUCACUGUCCCAAGUGUUGUUAUUCUCUCUCUCCAAAAAGAUUCAAUGUAGAAGAAGCAUGGGUUAUGCAAAAAUAUGCGAGGAAAUAAAAAGAGGCAAGUGCCCGGAACCUCAAAAAAGAAAGAAAAAAAAAGAGAGUGAGACGAGAGGUAAAAACGGACAAGUGUCCAGAGUAGAAUUAGGGGCACAAAGAUGCCCACUUGAGCGGAAAAAAUGGACAAGUGUCCGACAGUAGAAUUAGGGGUAUUUACUACCCACCUAAAAAAAUAGCCCAUGUUCUCCCAAAGCAAAGAUCAAGAGAGGAGGAGAGAUAGCAAUAUGAGGAGCAAUGAGAAGUAUGUUUUAUCAUCACUUAUACAUUUUUACCAUCACUAUCAUUUACUCCACCACACAUGCACAUCUUGAUUUAAUUAUAUGCUGAGUUCCUUUGGAUCCAUGACUCGAUUAGACA